GGCGGCUCCGGGCGCGGAGUGUGCGGGGGAAUCGGGGAACGGCUCGGCUUCAAAGGGACCGUAAAGCCCGUCUUAUUCCAUCCUUCGUAAAUGCCUGCCGCGGUUAAAAAUGAGAGGCUCCCAACGCUUCCACAACGCCAGCGUUUCAAACAUUUUGUACACAUUAACUGUCACGUGCAGAGCACAAUCACAGCCGACUAGACGAUUAUUAAAGAUGCCAAAUUAAUAUAAAAUAUGAAGCUGAAACUCCAAAUAGCAAUUCCAAGCUUCAGAAGCCAAAUCCGAUAACAAAUAACAAGCAUUUACAACACCGUGCUUUCCACCCGGGUGAUAUCUCAGCUUACAAACAAACACAUCCUGGGACUGUCUGGGUGUGAUGGAAUCACUGAAUCAGAAUAAAGAACAAGGGAGAAGAGACAUAGAAUUGUAUCAUAGAAUCCCAGACGGGCUUGGGUGGGAGGACCUUAAAGCCCAUCCAGUCCCACCCUCCUGCACGGGCAGGGACACCUCCCGCUAUCCCAGGGUGCUCCAACCUGGCCUUGGGCACUUCCAGCGAUGGGGCAGCUACAGUUUCCGUCCCAGCCCCUCACCACCCUCACUGGGAAUUUCUUCCCAGUAUUUAAUCUAAACCUGUUAGAAGCCAUUCCCCUUCGUCCUGCCCUUAUAAAAAGUCCCUCUCCACCUUGCUCGCAGGCUGCCCUCGGGUACUGGAAGGACAAGCCUCCCUCACCCCCCGACAGCCGCCUGAGGGUAUAGACAGAAGGCAGCUCCAGAGAGAUACAAGUAUUUUGGCCUCUUCAAGCAGUGUCUGAUAUAAAAUCUCUUCAUACACAUUCUCUACUUGGAUCACACUCGUGUAAUCAGCAAAAAUGUACUGCUCGUAUUUCUGCAGCUCCUGUGCAGGUGGAGAAGAAAGGAACAGACAUAGAAAACCCCGGGAUUCUCAGAGUCCUACAGCAACCAAACACCCUGGAGAUCCAUCCAGCAGGUCUUGCAGUGCUCCAUGUGAACUAUGACUAAAAAACUACCUAUGUCCUCAAUCUAUUAUGCGCUAAUCAAAUAGUAUUCCUGCAGUAUAACCACAUUAAAAGCACUACAGAUCACUGCCACCUGAAAUAAACAGCUGGGGAGGAAAUGCCUCACUAACUUGUUUGUCCAAGGAGGCAAAUCCAUGGUGCAUGGGAGAUACAGGGUUUGAGGUUGUUUUUCUAAUAGGUGUGUAACACUUUUACUCAGUGAUUUAUAUACAAAGGCUGUCUAGACAAUAAGUGAAUCAUUGUUAUUAAGCAGCUGCUUGGUGGUCUAUAAAAAGUAAAUUAGGUGACCUUCCAGAAGAGGCACCUAAAUAAAAACUCCUGGAGAUUUUCAAGGGAAAGGUCAGAACUUGGCUGUGCCUGUCAACUGUGCUGCACUUUUACUCCCAGAGCUCAUUUCUGCAGAGGCACAAACACAAAAGGCUCGUGGGAAAUCAAAUAGACAGGGCUUGUGGGAAGUUUGCACCACCACAGCUCCCUCUGUCCUGUAGGACAGAGACAAGAGCUGUCUCCACAGAUAUUGCAGGUGAUGAAAUGCUUGUUCCUGUGUGUAGACACCCUGUCAUAAAGGCACUGCUGAUGCUCUACAAGAAACUAUUUGGGGAUAGAGGGACAUACAGAAAAGAUUGGUUUAAAAUAUAUUCUUGGAAGUUUCGAGUUUUAGUAUUCCAUAGUUUAAAGACCUGUAAGCAUAACUUGGCAGAACAUUUGUUUUUAAACUUGGCUUGGAAACUGAAACAAGCUGGAGAGCAGAAACAAGAGCAGCACACCAUUGGUGAGAGCUCCCAGCAUCCAGGAAUGGAUGGACAUCAAUGGAAACAGAAGGGCAGGGAGGCUGGGAUAGCUUAGGCAGGUACAGUGACAAUGCAGGAGGUCACCCACAGGCUUCCAGAGGGUUCAGAUUAUUUAUUCUGAGCCAAGGUGAACAGCAUUCCAACAGGCCCCUGAUGCUGCCACACUGAUAACAUCUACCAUCUCAACAAAGCUCUGACAGCCACAUCUGCUGACUGCUAACACGGCCUGUAUGAUUCAGGGCAACAGAGAUCAUCUCUGUGUGAUUAUUUCUUGUUUGUUGACUCAAUACUUCCAUUUAAAAGCACUGACAGCAAGGGCAUGGCCUGGCUCCUGCCACUCCUGCUGCCCCAGGAGGCCUUGGGUGCUGAAGGAGGUUGCUGGCAGAGGCUGUGCAUGUUCCCAGCUGUGCCUUGGGGUGCUGCUGAAGAGGAAUGAACACAAGGACCAGCUCGUCACCUACAUCCCAACUGCCCAGAGGAGUCCCAUCUGGGGGACUUCAGAUCUCUAGGGAAGAAAGGAACCAGGGAUGGGCAAAGGACUGUCACUACCUUUGAGCAAGCAACCUGUACCUACUGUUUCCCUGUUUCCUGAAAUCUUCCUUAUGCCCCACACCCACCCAAUCCAUGAACUGGCAAAUCUAAGCCUGUUUGGCCAAGCAGGCAGCCAACCUGCACAGCCCUCUGGGAGAAAACAGCUACAGUGUUAAGGACUUGCUGACAAGGCAUUAUUCCUUCCCCGCCUUUUAUUAUCCGGGUUGGGUAUUUUUAAUCCCAGAAACCUACUGGUUUGCAUGUUGAAGCCAGGCUCUUCUGCAUUGUGGGCAGGGUAAUCUGUACCAGUGCUUCUUGGAAUAUCUUCUUCCUGAUGGUGCUGCUGUCAUAGUCAUAUUGCUGUCAGAACACAGAACAGAAACAAGCCAGGACGUGCUUGGGGUUAUUAAUCACUCACGCGAGGAACUGGUUCUUGUUAUCCUGUCACUGGUGCAUCAGAGGUGCACUCAGGGCUUUGAACUGCCAUGCAGGUUAUUCCAGCUUUUGCAAAACCACUCUAAAAUCUAGAUUUCUGGCAUCUCUUUCCAUUCUUGUUUUUUUUAUACUUAGGCUAGAAACAGCCCCUGAUUGCCCUCCCCGGGUAUUUCAGCACCGUCUCUUCCGAGAGGAACGAAUUCUAGGGGCAGGCUAAUUAUACAGUUAAUUAAAACUUUUAUAUCCAGAUUCACGGCAUCAUCAUAAUCUGAUUUAAUUGCAAUUAAAGGGACUGCACAUGCAAGUACUUUUAAAAUGGUCUGCCCAGAACUAGGUGUUACCCCUCAAAGGAGCAGUUUGCUACAUGCCACUAAAUUAGAUUUUCCAGCUGGCUGGUAGGAGAUAUCUCCUUUCAAAUACAGAGAUAAAUUCAUAUAAAAUAUAUUCCCUUUUCCUAAAAAGGCAGAACCCAAGGACUUCCUGUCCAGAAGUGCUACACAAAGUUUACCUUCAGCACCCUCAGCUUGACUUUUUCAAUGGUUGUUGCCACUUUGGCCAAGUCUGCCUGGUGACUUGGAGAGAAGAGCUGCUCAAAAGUAUAAACUGCAUUUUCCAUCAGCUGAAAAGAACCAUUUAAAAGAUCUGUUAAUAAGACCGGUCACAUAAAAUUCAUGCAAACUUGAUAAAUGUAACUGUUAAUUUGUGUUUUUGAAAAGGUGAAACAGAGAAAGAAUAACGGGCCUAAGAUCGAUAAAUAUUUCAGGUCCUUUAAAUGACUGUGGAAGGGGUAGAAGAGCCUUGUUUAGAUUGCAACACUCAGUUUUGGAACGGGAAACCAAAAAGAAGAUUAUCUAAUGCAAGAGAAUACAAAAAUGUAACUCCCUCAAUGUCUAUCUCGAGUUUACAGCAGGUCAAUACUACAAGUCUGCUCAUGUAACUGAACAGUUCUAUCAGCAAACAUACUCAGAGUGGAUUAAUUUAUAUUGUCCAAACAUUUUCUGCUGCAUUUCAGUUCUCUGAAGGGCAACAUGCACUGAAAAUGCUGCAAUAAAUAAAGAAAACUAAGCCUUGGUAUCACUGUCAUGCUGUCACAGCUUUCUUGCAUAGAUUUGAUCUCAUGUCACCACCCA
Long non-coding RNA from Chiroxiphia lanceolata (lance-tailed manakin), 3924 nucleotides. RefSeq lists it as uncharacterized. The transcript is spliced from 3 exons. Lineage: Eukaryota; Metazoa; Chordata; Aves; Passeriformes; Pipridae. The record is from RefSeq and is a predicted model, not a curated record.